AUCUCUCACAUCCUUCCCUUGCUCCCACCAAUUUAUUAAUAAUUUAUUUCUAUCAUUUUCACCUCUGCAGUACCUAUCCCAGGUCUAUGAGUUCAAACUCCCCAGGUGACUAUACAAUCCCACAUAUUGAUUUCAGAUUCAGUUUUGUAUAAGCCUCAUUCUGGAACCCCAGAAGUACAACAAGGGCAUUCUCCCCUCCAAAGACACGUAGAGGAGAGUGAGUUAUAGUGGAGGAGCUAGUAUGGUGUUAUCAUUAUUUAAACCAAGAAAAACACAUUGUAGACAAGAUGAAAGAUCCAAUAAAAAUGUGUUCUUAUUCCUGUUUCUAAAACUUUAACAGCUGGGCUUUCCCUUGCGGAAUAAUGUUACAUAAAUAACUCAGCCAGGAAGCAGAGGGGCUGUGAAGAAGUCCAACAAGAUGAUAGAUGAUCUUGGACACUCUGAAUAUCACACCCAAUGGAGUUACAAGGAAAUACAUGGUAAAGUUGGACAAGGCCAAAUGAAUAUUUUACUAAAACAUCCCACUGGACCUGAUCUCGGAGUAAAGAAAAGAGGCAUUUCUUCCAACUAUGGAAGCACGAAAGCAAACUAGUUCUGGUGUUUGGUUGACUCCUUUGCUUCUAAUUCAAUAGGACAAUGACCUCAUUCCAGCCCUGCUCUAGCCUGGGUUAGUAAUCCUGCUCCCUCAGUGUUUUCCACAGCCAGUUACUCUCCCCACCCCCACCUUUCUAUCUGUACCUGGGCAGUAUCUCCACAUGCAUCCAGCUGUCACUUACACUUAAUCCUUCAGAAAUUCCCACCAACUCUUUGGUUUGCAGUGAGUUUGGUCUGAGGAAAAGUAAAUCACGCAGCCUUGGUGCAAUCCUCAGACCAUGAUUUAAGUCUAUACUAUUUCAGACUCUUACUGAACUUCUGAAACAAAACCUAAAAAAUGAUGAAUUGCUCAACUACAUGUGCUAUAUUAAACCUGUAGUUGGGAGUUCUAUAGUCUUGCCAAAGACUUUAAGGAAACUGUAGCCUGUAUUCUCAUUUUUUUCUCUAUCCUAAGAUGAUUUAUUUGAAUUAAUCUAUAUCCCCUCUCAUAUUCUCUCUAUCAUCAUAGAGUCAUUUAAUCCAAGAUUUGAACCCAAACCAAGACCUUUAUACAAAAUCCCUGAGAGUUGACUUGGUUUUUUUUCUUUUUUCUAGGGCCGCACCCACAGCAUAUGGAGGUUCCCAGGCUAGGGGUCCAAUUUGAGCUGUAGCUGCUGGCCUAUGCCACAGCCACAGCAACGCUGGAUCCGACCUGUGUCUGCGACCUAUACCACAGCUCAUGGCAACACCAGAUCCUUAACCCACUGAGCGAGGCCAGGAAUCGAAACUGCAACCUCAAGGUUCCUAGUAGGAUUCGUUAACCACUAAGCCACGACGGGAACCCUGAGAGUUGACUUUUACAAUCUACUCAAACAUCUUCACUGCAUGGAACUCACUUCUUUGUGAAGUUUGCUACUUCAGUUUUGGACAGGUCAAUUUAUGGACAGCUGUCCUUCAUGAUGAACUGAAAUUUAUCUUAUCAUUGGCACCCAUCAUUCCUAGAAUUAAAUGAGACAGUACGUACAGAAAUUUUUUUUGAAGCAGCAAAGCCCUGAAUGAAUGUAAAGUAUAUUAAUAUCAAUUCUACCAUGUCAACUUUGAAUCUUAUCCAAGCCAUUGGAAUAGGCAAAUAUGAGAAUGAGGCCAAAGAUACCCCACACAGGUUUGUGAAAAGCUCCUUUCAGUUUCACAUUAGCCCACUAAUCAAUGUUCUUUAAACACUUCUAUUUAAGCAGUAAAAUACAAGGGUCAGGCUAAGUUGAGACCUAGAAAAUAGAAACAAAGCCAAAAUGAGGAAAAAACCAGAACCCAAGACUAAGGCUGACCAAAGACCAGAAGAAGCAGGAAGAGGGUGGUGUGGCUGAAUCACCUCUGUCUUUGACAUCAGUAGAGGUAGUGGUUUUGUUUUUUUCUUCUCUCCUCAUGGUCAAAGACAGCUUCAGAGCACUUGAGACAUCAUUUCAAUUUGACCUACCAAAUAAAACACAGCAUUGGUUGGAAAAGAGUCCUAAG
This 2085-nucleotide long non-coding RNA is filed under the name Sus scrofa (pig). RNAcentral describes it as "lncRNA (ENSSSCG00015052549.1)". Lineage: Eukaryota; Metazoa; Chordata; Mammalia; Artiodactyla; Suidae. The record is from RNAcentral.